Pogona vitticeps (central bearded dragon) is the source of this 468-nucleotide non-coding RNA. Lineage: Eukaryota; Metazoa; Chordata; Lepidosauria; Squamata; Agamidae. The record is from RefSeq and is a predicted model, not a curated record.
GCAGCCUAGUUCAGUGGCUGUGGGUGUGAAUGCUCAUCCACCUUACAGAUGAUAUGAGCCACAAUGAUCUCAAACAUCUUUCCGCUAUGUUUCUAUGCUAAUAGUAGAAGAUGCAUUGCUCAGCCACAAUGAUAGUAGCUGGAGUGUUUUGGUUGAUAGACAGACAGAGUGGAAUGGAGAGAACCAGUAGACUCUGAUCAUCUCUGGAUUCAAUCUAUGUACAAGAUACAGAUGACAGUGGAAGAUGGGCAGAUGGAAGUGGCCAAGGUCAGGAUAACACAACAGGAGCAGAGCAGAGAAGGUGGGGAGGACUCAGCGCCACUGGAGGAGCCUGCAUCCACGAGUGCUCUUGCUGUGCUGCCAGGAGUGACGUCACCAGGAGGAAGAAAAUGGGCAAACCACUCCUUUUUGGAACAACCUAUUAGGAUGAAAUAAUGAUUCAUAAUAAAAAGUAAUGGGUCAUUCUGG